Molecule: long non-coding RNA, 694 nt
Organism: Salvia splendens (bonfire salvia)
Lineage: Eukaryota; Viridiplantae; Streptophyta; Magnoliopsida; Lamiales; Lamiaceae
Exons: 3
Source: RefSeq, a predicted model, not a curated record
UUUAUUUACUAUAAAAAGUAACGAACAUAGUUAUCAUUUAUUUACUAUAAAAAGUAACGACAAUACGGCUAAAUAUCGAUAUUAAUCCCUUUUUUAUUUAUACCUGCCGGCUAAUCUAAUAAUAAUAAUGUCACUAAAGCUUUUACACCUUUCAUUUUCUAUAUUAUUAAUACAUAUAGGAGUAUUUUAUAUACAUUUUUCUAUAUUGCAAAACCCAAAAAAAUCGAUUACUCUGGGGUCAAUUUGGGGGAAAGGCGAUGACGAUUCCAACGGCGUUGAUCCGAUUUUGAGCUUCGACGACAUGGAUAUAAGGGACGAUCUACAACUACGGCUUCGAGGCACCGGAAAAACUUCCAUGAUCACGCUCUCUGUUUGCCAGAUUGUCGAUACCAAGUCUUCAGAGAACAUUCCGUGAUUUAUUUUUAUUUUUUUAUAAAAACGGUGGAUGAUUAUAACUAGGUGGUCUUAAUCUUUGCUAUCCUUCCAAAUGAUAUAUUGGAGAUCACAAGCAAAUUCAUGACUGACCCAGUUUGUAUCCUUGUAAAGUGACGGUAUUCAUUGAACUCUUAAGGGCAUUAAACAAUUCUUUGUAUCUGUAGAAAGAGAAGAGUAGAGUGGAAAUUUGAUACUCUAUGUGAUUUAUAUGAUACCGUUACAAUCACCCAGGCUGUAUUUUGUUUUUUAACUUGUCUUA